CCUACGGGAGGCAGCAGUGAGGAAUAUUGGUCAAUGGACGAGAGUCUGAACCAGCCAAGUAGCGUGAAGGAUGACUGCCCUAUGGGUUGUAAACUUCUUUUAUAAAGGAAUAAAACGAGGCACGUGUGCCUGUUUGCAUGUACUUUAUGAAUAAGCAUCGGCUAACUCCGUGCCAGCAGCCGCGGUAAUACGGAGGAUCCGAGCGUUAUCCGGAUUUAUUGGGUUUAAAGGGAGCGUAGAUGGGUUGUUAAGUCAGUGGUGAAAGUUUGCGGCUCAACCGUAAAAUUGCAAUUGAUACUGGCAGUCUUGAGUACAGGUGAGGUAGGCGGAAUGCGCGGUGUAGCGGUGAAAUGCUUAGAUAUCACGAAGAACCCCGAUUGCGAAGGCAGCAUACCAACCGGUGACUGACAUUGAUGCUCGAAAGUGUGGGUAUCAAACAGGAUUAGAUACCCCAGUAGUC
RNAcentral lists this ribosomal RNA (460 nucleotides) under uncultured bacterium. Its description in RNAcentral is "partial 16S ribosomal RNA". It matches the Rfam family "Bacterial small subunit ribosomal RNA", at positions 338 to 795 of the family's 1533-position model. The record is from RNAcentral.